RNAcentral lists this ribosomal RNA (403 nucleotides) under uncultured bacterium. RNAcentral describes it as "bacterial SSU rRNA". It matches the Rfam family "Bacterial small subunit ribosomal RNA", at positions 355 to 775 of the family's 1533-position model. The record is from RNAcentral.
UGAGGAAUAUUGGACAAUGGAGGCAACUCUGAUCCAGCCAUGCCGCGUGAGUGAUGAAGGCCUUAGGGUUGUAAAACUCUUUUAGUAGGGAAAAUAAUGAUGGUACCUACAGAAAAAGCUCCGGCUAACUUCGUGCCAGCAACCGCGGUAAUACGAAGGGAGCUAGCGUUACUCGGAAUCACUGGGCGUAAAGCGUAUGUAGGCGGAAUUUCAAGUCAGAGGUGAAAUCCCUGGGCUCAACCCAGGAAUUGCCUUUGAAACUGUAAUUCUUGAGUAUGGUAGAGGAUGGUGGAAUUUCCAGUGUAGAGGUGAAAUUCGUAGAUAUUGGAAAGAACACCGGUGGCGAAGGCGACCAUCUGGGCCAUUACUGACGCUGAGAUACGAAAGCGUGGGGAGCAAACGG